RNAcentral lists this ribosomal RNA (496 nucleotides) under uncultured bacterium. RNAcentral describes it as "partial 16S ribosomal RNA". It matches the Rfam family "Bacterial small subunit ribosomal RNA", at positions 28 to 506 of the family's 1533-position model. The record is from RNAcentral.
GAUGAACGCUGGCGGCGUGCCUAAUACAUGCAAGUCGAGCGAACAGACGAGGAGCUUGCUCCUCUGACGUUAGCGGCGGACGGGUGAGUAACACGUGGAUAACCUACCUAUAAGACUGGGAUAACUUCGGGAAACCGGAGCUAAUACCGGAUAAUAUAUUGAACCGCAUGGUUCAAUAGUGAAAGACGGUUUUGCUGUCACUUAUAGAUGGAUCCGCGCCGCAUUAGCUAGUUGGUAAGGUAACGGCUUACCAAGGCAACGAUGCGUAGCCGACCUGGGAGGGUGAUCGGCCACACUGGAACUGAGACACGGUCCAGACUCCUACGGGAGGCAGCAGUAGGGAAUCUUCCGCAAUGGGCGAAAGCUUGACGGAGCAACGCCGCGUGAGUGAUGAAGGUCUUCGGAUCGUAAAACUCUGUUAUUAGGGAAGAACAAAUGUGUAAGUAACUAUGCACGUCUUGACGGUACCUAAUCAGAAAGCCACGGCUAACUACGU